RNAcentral lists this ribosomal RNA (600 nucleotides) under uncultured bacterium. RNAcentral's name for it is "bacterial SSU rRNA". It matches the Rfam family "Bacterial small subunit ribosomal RNA", at positions 46 to 637 of the family's 1533-position model. The record is from RNAcentral.
GCCUAACACAUGCAAGUCGAGGGGUAACAGGAGAUUGCUUGCAAUCUUGCUGACGACCGGCGCACGGGUGCGUAACGCGUAUAGAACCUACCUUAUAUUGGGGGAUAGCCCAGAGAAAUUUGGAUUAAUACCCCAUAGUAUGCUGAAUUGGCAUCAGUUUAGUAUUAAAGAUUUAUCGAUAUAAGAUGGCUAUGCGUUCUAUUAGCUAGUUGGUAAGGUAACGGCUCACCAAGGCGACGAUAGAUAGGGGUCCUGAGAGGGAGAUCCCCCACACUGGUACUGAGACACGGACCAGACUCCUACGGGAGGCAGCAGUGAGGAAUAUUGGACAAUGGAGGCAACUCUAAUCCAGCCAUGCCGCGUGCAGGAAGACUGCCCUAUGGGUUGUAAACUGCUUUUAUAGAGGAAGAAACCGCUCUACGUGUAGAGCUCUGACGGUACUCUACGAAUAAGGAUCGGCUAACUCCGUGCCAGCAGCCGCGGUAAUACGGAGGAUCCAAGCGUUAUCCGGAAUCAUUGGGUUUAAAGGGUCCGUAGGUGGAUUAAUAAGUCAGAGGUGAAAUCCUGCAGCUCAACUGUAGCACUGCCUUUGAUACUGUU